This 433-nucleotide ribosomal RNA is filed under the name uncultured bacterium. Its description in RNAcentral is "partial 16S ribosomal RNA". It matches the Rfam family "Bacterial small subunit ribosomal RNA", at positions 29 to 507 of the family's 1533-position model. The record is from RNAcentral.
AACGAACGCUGGCGGCAUGCCUAACACAUGCAAGUCGAACGAGACCUUCGGGUCUAGUUGCGCCCGGGUGCGUAACCCGUGGCAACCUGCCCUUAGGUUCGGCAUAACUCCCCGAAAGGGGUGCUAAUACCGGAUAAUGUCUUCGGACCAAAGGUUUAUCGCCUUUGGAUGGGCCCGAGUUUGAUUAGCUAGUUGGUAGGGUAAAAGCAUACCAAGGCGACGUUCCAUAGCUGGUCUGAGAGGAUGAUCAGCCACACCGGGACUGAGACACGGCCCAGACUCCUACGGGAGGCAGCAGUAGGGAAUAUUGGACAAUGGGCGAAAGCCUGAUCCAGCAAUGCCGCGUGAGUGAUGAAGGCCUUAGGGGGGUAAAGCUCUUGUACCCGGGAUGAUAAUGACAGUACCGGGAGAAUAAGCUCCGGCUAACUCCGUG